CCUACGGGAGGCAGCAGUGGGGAAUAUUGCACAAUGGGCGAAAGCCUGAUGCAGCAACGCCGCGUGAAGGAAGACGGUUUUCGGAUUGUAAACUUCUGUUCUUAGUGAAGAAUAAUGACGGUAACUAAGGAGCAAGCCACGGCUAACUACGUGCCAGCAGCCGCGGUAAUACGUAGGUGGCAAGCGUUGUCCGGAUUUACUGGGUGUAAAGGGCGUGCAGCCGGGAAGACAAGUCAGAUGUGAAAUCCCGCGGCUCAACCGCGGAACUGCAUUUGAAACUGUUUUUCUUGAGUACCGUAGAGGUGAUCGGAAUUCCUUGUGUAGCGGUGAAAUGCGUAGAUAUAAGGAAGAACACCAGUGGCGAAGGCGGAUGACUGGACGGCAACUGACGGUGAGGCGCGAAAGCGUGGGGAGCAAACAGGAUUAGAUACCCUUGUAGUC
RNAcentral lists this ribosomal RNA (441 nucleotides) under uncultured bacterium. RNAcentral's name for it is "partial 16S ribosomal RNA". It matches the Rfam family "Bacterial small subunit ribosomal RNA", at positions 338 to 795 of the family's 1533-position model. The record is from RNAcentral.